UCCUACGGGGGGCAGCAGUGGGGAAUAUUGCACAAUGGGGGAAACCCUGAUGCAGCAACGCCGCGUGAGCGAAGAAGUCAUUCGUGAUGCAAAGCUCUAUCAGCAGGGAAGAAAAUGACGGUACCUGAGUAAGAAGCCCCGGCUAACUACGUGCCAGCAGCCGCGGUAAUACGUAGGGGGCAAGCGUUAUCCGGAUUUACUGGGUGUAAAGGGAGCGUAGACGGCAAGACAAGUCUGAAGUGAAAAUCAAGCGUUUAAGGUUGGAAGUGAUUUGGAAAGUGGGGGGUUAGAGUGUAGGAGGGGUG
RNAcentral lists this ribosomal RNA (305 nucleotides) under uncultured bacterium. Its description in RNAcentral is "bacterial SSU rRNA". It matches the Rfam family "Bacterial small subunit ribosomal RNA", at positions 337 to 659 of the family's 1533-position model. The record is from RNAcentral.